AUGGUCACCCAGAGGACUGUUACACCCUUGAUGUUACUAAAAAGCCGUCAGCUGCCCCAACUCUCGCUCAGCCAUAACAGAGGCACCCAGCAAGGGGGAAUUCCCCCACGCCAGACACGGAGGAGGCAAGGAUGCAAUCCCCACCAGGGGCUGGGACUCCAGACAAGAGCACUGUUUAUGUCCACACUGUCGAUGAAGAAGCUGAAGUGGAGGGAAACUGAAGAACCUCUGCUGGAGUCAUGUUAUUUAACUAUGAAGAUCUUACCAGGUUUGAACCAGUCGCUGGGGACUUCCAGAGUUCCUUAUGUCUGGUCCUGCCUACUGGGGGAAACUGGAGAUGCCCAGCAGAGGCCCAGAAGUGCCAGCCUGCUCAGGUUGACCUUGCCCAGCCCACUCGGGAGGGCCUGAGCACAGAAGUUCCCAUGGAAAGUUUUGAGAUUUUUGUGGAUUGAAACCAGAUGACCCCUUGUAAGCAGAGCCCACCAGCAGCAGUGGGUCUGGGUGUGUGUGCUCCUCCACCCUCCUGUUCCCAGUCUGUUCCAGGGAGGGAAACCGCCCCAGGGUGCAGACAAGCCAAUGGGACGGGAGCUCACGAGCCUUGGCCACCAGACAGGCAUGGCUGGGUGGUUGGAGGGAACAAAAGACAAUUCUGUGCUGGGACAGGAAUGGCUCCACCGGUCUCCUGGGUCCUCAUCUGUUUUCAAGUUUCAGGAUGAGCAGAGAACUUUGAGAGCGCGUUCCUCUUCUCCACAUUUUCCAGUUCCUUCUCUGCACGCUCAUUCAUUUCUACCUUCCACAAAUCACUGAAGCAAACAGAGCACACUGUGAGCUGAACUGAACCUCUGUGAUGAUCUCCCCCUACCUAGAAAUUAAAAGCAUUGCUGUUCCUGGAAGAAAGAGACAAUCAGUGAAGCCUGAGCCUGGACUUAUUUCUACAUGGUAUUGAGAGGUUGGGGGCUGGGGACACAGCUCAGUGGUCAAGUGUUUGCUGCACAAACAUGAAGAA
Molecule: long non-coding RNA, 1006 nt
Filed under: Mus spicilegus (steppe mouse)
Lineage: Eukaryota; Metazoa; Chordata; Mammalia; Rodentia; Muridae
Description: lncRNA (ENSMSIG00000020957.1)
Source: RNAcentral